UCAGGGGGAUGUAGGGUAUAGCUGCUGCUGGGCGGGGCAGGAAGGAACGGGAGUAGGAAAGGAAAGGAAAAUGGGAAAGGAAAGGAAAAGCAAAGGGAAAGAGAAAGGAAAAAGAAAGGGAAAGGAAGUGCAGCGAAGCGAAGGGCUGAGCAGGGCAGGGGCAGGGAUGGAGUGUUUCUGCCUCCCGUCUAGGGGGACAGGGAGCCGCGGUAGAGGCUGGCGAAGGCGGAGGGGCCUGGAGCCUCCCCCAGCCCGUGAAGAGACGUCUCCGCGAAGAGAACGCAGUCAGUGUCCGCGGUGGUGGAGUGGGGAGCGGAUGUCCCGCCUCCACUAAGGGGAAAGGACGGAGCCGCGGGGAGCCGUGCUACGACUCAGGCUUGUAGCCCUAGCUGCGGGAAAAGAUGUGAGGUGGCAGCGGGCGGGCCAGCCGCUCUCCACGAGUGGGUGCCCGGCUGCAGCUGUGUACUUGAGAGCUGGGUAUCAAGGCUGCCGGUAGGAGCCCUCUGGCCCGGACAAAAGGAGAACUAGCGUUCCGCCGAGAGGCCUCCUGGAUCUGCGGGCUGUAACGACCGAUCCGUUUGCCCUGGACCCGACAGGUGCUAGCGGCGGAAGCUUCGGGGCCAUUUUCUGCAGCUCUGGAAACAGAAGCAUCAGGACUGCUCUUCACAUGUUCCAAGAAAGGUGUCUACAUACACUGACAUUCAGGAACUAUCUCUUGCAUCAGGCUUCCAUUUUGCUCUAACCUGCAGCCUUUACUGCAUGCCAAUGAGAAUAUUUCUCAGACACAGUGCAUCCUGUUUUGCUGGGCUGGCAGGUACCUCCUGCUCUCUGCUUCUGCUUUUCUGAAGACACAAUGCAAACCCAACCCUUGCUGGUCUCUCUUCGGAAGGCACAGGUGAGAGGUAUCCUUUCUGGAGGCACAAAGAGGUGAGAAAGCUGCGUUCUGUAACAACAUUGUCCUUGGGGAAGCAAAAAGAAGAUUAAAAGGCAGAAGGCCACCUCUGAGACCCCAUUCCCUGAAAAUGUGAGAAACCUGAAGAACAUGGUGAAAACGUAAAAAAAGGAACCACUUUUUGUAAGAAGGCUCCAGGAUGUAUAAUUUAUUAAACCCAAAGUACAAAGGUGCUGAAAGACCCUCCUAGUCUAUUGUGAAUAGCACCUUGGUAAUAGCAGCUGACUACAAAGGGUACUGUUUUCUGUGUCCUUUCCACAUUGUUCCAGGAAUUAUUUCACACAUGAUCACUGGUACAGUGUUUAUUUACCCCUUAGGUUUAUGCACAUCUUGAGCAGUUUUCCAUAGGUCCCCACAGAGUUACAUAUCAACUGCUCUCCUCCUGUUUUCCUACCUUGUUCUUAAUGAAUCCAUUGGCCAGGAGAGUCAAGUACCUUGUCUGGUGCACAUUUUGCUGCUUACUGCUCGAGGUUUUGGAGAAAACUGUUUUUGUAAGUAUCAGACUGCUCUCAAAUCUUAUGGAAAAUACCAAUUUUACUGCUGAGUAUCAGUAAAAAAAGCCCCUUUGAUAGACCCUGGAACUCCAUCCUUCCUAACACUGAAAGGGAGGUGACAUUAAGAUAAGUUUCAUGUCACAUUUAUCACUACUGUGUCACUAGUCUAUGUUGAUACAAAGCAGAAGUUCACUACAAAAUGCCUUAUUACCAAGACAAUCAAUGAAAGCUAUUAAGUCUUUAACCACUGAAGGCAAUUUGGUAUCACAGGAACCCUUCACACUCUGAAGUAAAGCUGUGGUCUCAGUCAGCUGAAGCGAUCCCACUUAUAGUGCCUUGAAGCUUAACACUUAUAGCCUAUCUCAAGGUAAGUACAAGAGUAAAAUAAUUGUUUUUUAGGCCAGAAAACCAAGACCUGAUUGAAAGAGUAGAAAGGUGAAUAAACCCAACCCAAACCAAAAGAACAAAUCCAAACAAUGUCUUCCUCUUGCAGUCCAAAAACAUUAUGGAAUGCUGGAGUGAUUAGGGACAUACAUAAUUGGUAAGAUCAGGUAGAAAGUUUUUCUCAGUAGGUGAAAACGGUACCUCUGCACACAAUUAUGUUUAAAGUCAGUUCUCAUUACAUAUCCUGAGGAAUCACAUAAAUCAGGACCUGCAAUUAACAACCAAAAAAAAAUACUGUCCAGGUGUGGCCCAGAGCUGAUUACUGAUGCAGCUGGAAUCCUUGAGCAUGAGAUCCAGUAGGAUGCUGCACCUCUGUCCUCUGUGGGAAGGGAAAUACACUUUUACGUAGUGAUGCCACGUUCCAGACGUUAUUUUUAUUUGCAUAUCACAUACCAGGCACAGGAAAAGAGAAAUGGCUCACAGCAUGAAAUGGGCUGGCUCUGGCUGAACACCUCUGCCGUGGAAGCAAGCGCACCUGUUUGGAGAUGUAUUUAGCCAAAGGCCAAACUCUACCAUUCAGAGGAAAUUUAUUUCAUCACCUAGCAACCUCACUGUUCUUCACAGUGGAAUAAACAACCAGAACAAGUAGGUUUUGCAUUUCUUUGUGGCUGAUUCAGCUCCUGGGUUGUAACAGGCUUUCCUAACUACAGGAAUUUUGGCCAGGUCAAACACAAAUCCUCUAGCAUAAACUCCGCAUUUCCCUCCUUCACCUGAUACAGUGUGCUGUACUAGAAAAGGAAACACAAGAGUUUAUGACAAUCAGUUUCAGAAGAAGGAAAAUACUCCAACAGAUAAUUUUUUUUUGCAUUCACAAGAUCAAUACAUUCACGACAAGGUUAUUAAAAUACAAUCCAAAGUAACUGGGAACAAAUUCUACUUCAUCUUCAGACAGCUACAGUGAAUAGACUCAAAACAGCAUGUGCACUGCAGUAUUCCCAACCACAAGAACAGCAGAUGGCAACUGACCACACUGAAAUUCAAGAGCUGUAGCACCAGCUACAGCUCCAUCACCAACACUGCAACAGCCCAGGCACUUUGGAUGGGUGCAAGAAACCUUUUUGCAUGCAGUUGAUGUUGUAAUUCCAUGCAGCUGUCAUCCACAUGUACCAUAAGAAAGCCUCUUAUCAUGGUGUAUUUGGCAUAGAAGACUUGAUUUACUACAAUGUAUGCUUCCAGGCUGUACAUACGUGAAUUAAGCCUGAUGGAAAAUCCCUCACUGAUUCUGAUGAGCCCAAAGGAACUUGAUACAUAGCUCCACUCUGCUUAACUCAGUGGAGAAGUCCCCCUCAAACCUCAUCAAAGAUCUGACUCCUUAUUUAUUUUGGUGGUAUACAGCCAUUAAGUGAGCACUGCCUAUGACACAAACUCAAAAGCCAAGUCUUCUUCAGUGUUUCAGGAAUCAUCCCGACUCUGUGCUUCUCUGAAACUUCACUGAAUUUGGCAAGGUGUAAAGGGAGUACCAACCAACAUAAUUCCCAAGAAGAAGGGAGAAAAGCAACACACAAGUCUUAAGAGGGCAAUCAAUCUUUAUCUCUGAUGGAUAUCUGGUUCUCUCCCCUCCCUACUGUUUUAACAUGUGUGUCAGAUAUAUUCAGCACAUAAAUCUGUACCAAUUUCCACUCCUCAGCAUGUCUUUUCUGCCAGAAAAGAAUGGGAAAAACCUGACAUCUUACAGCAUGCAUGAGUAGAUGAAGAAAUCUUUUUAACAGGAUAAAUAAUGAGCUCCCAAAUAAAGACUUACAUUCUUCUAAGAAAAUAGUGUUUCUAUGCUUGCAUGAGUCAAAUAUGGAGUUGGAAAACGCAAAUUAUAAAAAAACAGGUACCACCUAUUUAUCAGUAUCUAAUGGAAGCGAGGGGUCUGGAGUCUGUCCUGUGCAAAAGCUGAUGGGAAACCUCAAACCACAGCUGCACAGGGCUUACCACCUCCUGCUACUGCCAGUUGGCAAGCCUAAGGAUGAUCUGACAACAGCCUGUUUUAGCCCUUUGCCAACUGUUUUAAACAAGGUGAGGGUGAAAGAUGUGAAUACAAGUGUCUCAGCAGAGCAGUGGCUAGAGGAAACGCGUUGGUUCUUGACAGGCAGGGAUCCCCUGCACAGAGGUGCCCAGCACCUUGGAAAACCUGACUGAGAAGCUGAUAACAAGUAGAUGCCAGCAACAGAUACCAUGCCUAAUUCACUUGUCCCAACUAACUUACUUAGAGAAAACAACCUUCCACAUGUAUCCUGUCACAUACUCAUGUCUUCAAUCACUGCAACCCCCAAAAAACCCAACAUUGCUCAGUCUUAACCAUAUUCUUAUGGUUAAGGAACUUAACUGUGUAACAGUCCUGUGAAUAAAUACAUAUUUGGCAGGAAGGUAAUACAUAAUGCUUCUGAUUUGUGUGGUUCACGACUGAGUGCACCAUCAGCAAGUUUGCCAAUGACACCAAGCUGUCAGUGCAGUGAAUUCUGGAGGUAAGGGAUGGAAUCCGGAGAGACCUUGAUACAGAGAGCAGCCCUGCAGAGAAGGACUUGGA
Melopsittacus undulatus (budgerigar) is the source of this 4405-nucleotide long non-coding RNA. RefSeq lists it as uncharacterized. Lineage: Eukaryota; Metazoa; Chordata; Aves; Psittaciformes; Psittaculidae. The record is from RefSeq and is a predicted model, not a curated record. The transcript has 8 exons.